RNAcentral lists this unclassified non-coding RNA (1322 nucleotides) under Hevea brasiliensis (rubber tree). Lineage: Eukaryota; Viridiplantae; Streptophyta; Magnoliopsida; Malpighiales; Euphorbiaceae. The record is from RNAcentral.
CUCCAAGAUUCAGAACUUAAAUUCCAUUUCCAAAAUUAUCUUCAAAUUUGCACAAUUGGAAACGAAAAAUUGCUGCAAUGUCAGGAUUACUCCUCACAGCCAAUUUGCAACAGCUUAAAACUACCGUACUUCUAUUGUUCUACUCCCUUACAAACGCUAUCUAUUUAACAAAUAAGCAUAAAGACUAAGAAAAACACAAUCCAGUUCUGGAACUGCUACUAUUUCAGACCCUGGAUGCUGCAUUUCAACCGGAGAGCUGGAUCUCAGAUGGCUUCACUACUUCAUCGUCUUCUUUGCUUCGUUUAGGAGUGGUCCCAUAGUAACAACCAUAAAGUAUGAGCUGUGCAGCGCCUGCCAGUGCUCCGAGACCGUUGCUAACCAGUAUAAAGGGAUCAAAUUUGAUGAGGGCAUAAGCUGCCCAUAUGCAGCCAUUUGCAAAGCCAGCCAGCGAGAGAUACAGUGGCAUGUAUUCGACACUCUUUGUGGUAAUAACUUUUUUCAUGAUAGCAAGAGGUGAACUGUACAUCAGAACAUUAAGCACAUCACAGAAAAUUCCGACGAAAAGGGUUCUUCUCUUAUGAGUGUGGAAACCCAGCAAGGUGCCGAUGACUAUAAUUGCCAUGACAAAUACUUCGACAGCAAGAGCAUAAGCAACUUGUUUCCUUCCUUUGCCCCUUUUGUCAUAUAUGCAGAAAAUGACUAAAUAGAUCAACUCCAGUGCAAGGCCAAUAGCAUUGAUGGUGGUAACAAGGAUGCUGUCAGGUUUAACAAUGGGCAGACCAUAGAAGACCCAUAACAUACAAUUCAUCACCGUUACAAUAUAUGGAAUAAACUGAAAUUCCUCAACAUCUUUCCUCUUCCAUAUGCGAUAGAAUGUUGGACUGUAGCACCAUUAUUUCAAAUUGGAAUCAUCAUUUAUGUGGACGAGAACUUGAACUAUUAUCAAAAUGCAUAAGCAAAAUGAAAUCGGCAUGACCAACCAGAGAUCGUUGUCUGGCAGGAAAAAAAACUUGAGCAGGGUACAAAUUCAACAAAAUGGUGAGAAACCCAGUUUAAGAAAAAAUUUCAACCUUCAACAUUGAAACUACAAUUUGAUAUGCAAAAGACAAAAGAGAAAUUUCAAGCAGGGGAUGAUAAACAGAGGGAGAGAAUUUUUACACUGGCGAGAGGAAAAGGCCGAAAGAGAUGACAUUCCCUAUAAUGCCUACGACAUUGCGAGCAGCUUCGGCGCUCAGCAUUUUUUAAUCUCUGAGGUAGAAAGGGAUUGAUCUCUCUGAAGAGUAUAGGUUUUGGGAUAGAGUAAAGAUAAAGGGAGACGUGGG